GUUGAACAUUUUAGCCACCCAGAUCAUCCAUUGAUCCUCAUGAAUCAAGUUCUCGAGUUUAGUUGUGAACUAGUUAUUUGCUCUGGAUGCGAGGGACCUAUAUGGGGUCCUUGCUACAGUUGCACCUCUUGCUACUUCUUUCUUCAUAAGAAAUGCGCCGAGCUGCCCCGUGAGAUCAAGCGGCGCAUUCAUCGUAGACACCCUCUCCAUCUACUGGCAAAGUCACCAUAUAAAGGAAACUACCUUUGUAAUCGGUGCACCAAAACUUUCAACAGUUUUGUGUACCAUUGUUCUUACUGUAAGUUUGAUCUAGAUAUCAAAUGUGCUUUUGAACCGGGUUUUUUUGAGGUUGAUAGUCAAUUUGCCCAUAAGGAUCAUCCAUUGAUUUUGAAUGAAGAGAAAGAAUAUCAUGAUGAAGGAGUUAUGUGCUCUGUUUGCAAGGAACCAAUGUCGGGUCCUAGCUAUAGUUGCACUUCUUGCAACGUCUUUCUUCACAAGAAGUGUGCUGAGCUACCCCCAGAGAUCAAGCGGCACAUUCAUCCAGAACACCCUCUUCGUCUACUGCCAAAUCAUCACAUGAUCUGUGGUUUUUGCAAAGAAACUUGCUAUGAGAGUUUUGUUUACUGCUGUUUUGUGUGCGAAUUCAACCUCCAUAUCAAAUGUGCUUUUCCACCUUGCGUUUAUGCAGCUGAUCAGGAUCAGGGGCAUCAAUUUAGAAGCCUGAUGAAUCCACUUUCAUUCAAAUCAAUCUCCUUCACUUGCCAUGCAUGUGGCACUGGGGGAGAUGACUCCCCUUUCAUGUGCACCAUGUGCCAACUCGUGGUCCACGAAGAAUGCAUUUCAUUGCCAGGCACCCUUAAAACGGCACUGCACCAUCAUCCCCGAAUCAUCCACGCGUAUCAACAUCAACAAUGCAUCGAAUCGAUAAACAAGUACUGUGGAAUUUGCUGUCGGGAAGUUGACACAGAAUACGGAGUUUACUAUUGCCCAGACUGUGACUUUGUUGCACACGUGAAUUGUAGCAGAGAAUAUGGCGAUUCGGCAACAGAGACUGGAGGAGAAAACGAAGAAGAGCAAAGUGUGACUGUUGAUGAUCAAUUCAUGGAACCUAGCUUUCGCGUAGUCCGUGAGAUCAAGCAUGGAGAGGAGAGAAUAAUUGAAGAGAUCGAACAUUUCAGUCAUCAACAUAACCUAAUCCUUAAUGACAAGGUUGAUGAUGAUCUAAAGUGUGAUGGGUGCAUGCUACCAAUCUCAACUCCAUUUUAUAGUUGUGCCAGGUGUAAUUUCUUUCUUGACAAAACCUGCAUAGAAUUACCCAAGAAAAAAAAGUGGCAAUAUCACGAAAACCAACUGAUUCUUUCAUGGAGCCGAAGGGAACAUUUUCUGUACAACUGUGUUGUGUGUAAUCAAUAUUUUCGUGGGCUCAGGUACACAUGUGAUGUAUGUCGUCUCUGCAUUGAUGUCCGAUGCUUCAAAUCAUUGAAAGAUUCUUUUAAACAUGGAGGUCAUGAGCAUCCCCUUUAUCUUCCAGCGGACAGAAAGAAAAUUCUCCGUUGCACUAUUGGAGGUCGCGGGGUUCCCCCUUGGGUUGCAGAUGACGGAGAGAUUAUUCCCCAUUGCAGUGGCUGUUGUGUCAGUGAAGAAUCAAAGGUAUUUUUUAAAUGUGCGGUUUGCGAUUUCAAGCUGGGUAUGAAAUGUGCUACACUGCCAUACAAAGCAAGACACGAGUAUGAUGACCAUCCUCUCUUCCUCACCUAUAUUAAUGCAAAUGACUACCAACCUUCCUGUAUAAUUUGUGAAGAAGAUAGAGACCCAAAGCUCUGGUUCUACCGUUGUGAGGAAUGCGACUUCGAUGCUCAUCCAGAAUGUGCUCUCGGGAAAUACCCAUUUUUCAAGCCAGGGGGUGUUCUAACAUAUCCUAAACACCCUCACCCUCUUGCUUUGGUCAUCAAGACAGAGGAUUAUCGUCCACAGGCAUGCGAUACUUGUGGUUUGCCUUGCGACGACUUGGCCCUAGAAUGUACUGAUCCUAACUGCAGUUUUAUCGUCCACCGGGAUAGAUGGGAAUGCUAUGAGUCAUUAUGGUGAUUGGAUUGCAGUUGAUGGCUUUUUUCUUAUUUUUGGGUUAUGAUUGUUGGGGUGAAUGGAUGGAUACAUAUGUAGCUUCAUACUUAUUAUUUUCGCAGAUGAGAUCACUUUUUUUUCUCUCUCUUUUUUUCUGAACAAUGGAUGCUAUUUUAUUAAAACUGUCAAGCUCUCCAUAAAUUCUGCAUUUACAUUUUCGUUAUAGAUUUUAUUGUAAAUGCAUAAAAAUAGUCAUAUAAAACAACACUUAUCUAACUGAUAUCAAUUAUUUUCAUUCAAAUAUUUAAUUUUUCUUUCCUUAACACAAUCUAAUAUUAAAUAAAUGUAUUUAAAUAAUAUUUAAAACGAACACCUCAAGGCCAUUCGAUAGCUUUGUCCUUUAAUAAGAUAUAUAAUGAAAAAAUAAGUUAAUUCAUGUUUUUGAUAUUUUUCUUCUUAAGAAGAAUUAAGAUUUUGCCUGUUUCACUUGCAAUGCAUGUGGCACUGAUUUGUUGAAGAUUAUUACCAUCAGACGUCACAUCUGUUGCAUUUCUUCGUUCAGCUAACCCAGUCUCAGAAAAUUUCUUCAUUUGUAUAGGUAUUGAUAUCAUAAAUAAAAUUCAAAAAAUAAAAAAUAAAAAUUUUAAUUCAUUUAAAAAAAAAUUUAAAUUUUUUUUUUUUUACCACUUCUCGUAGCAAUCCACGUAGCCUCGGUUUUACUUUGAAAACAACUUGGCAACUGAAUGGUGGUCCAGUUAAACGCAUUUUCUUAAUCAGCAGUUUUCCUUUUGAAAUGAAAACGGUUGGCGUGUACUUGUGCUUCCUUUUCUUUUUCUUUUUUUUUUGUUUUUUUUUUUUUAUUAACGUAGAUGUCCGGGUCACUUUGUGCGUACCUCAACUAAUCCCACAGACUCUGAAGUUAAUAACCAUGUAAGCCUCUAGUGGCCCUGAGAUUUGUAGGACUCGAAUGGGUGACCUCUAGAGAGCAAACCUAGGAUCUAACCAGUUAAGUUACACCUCUCAGGAUUUUUUCUUUUAUUUUUAUUCCAUAGUAAAAGGUAAUUUUUUAUUAGUUUAUAUGUUAAUCAAGAUUGAGUUUUUUUAUUCAAAUAAUUUUAAAGAUAAAUAAUUUAAAGUUAUGAAUCAUCUAAUAAUCCAUUUAAAGUUAUAAAGUUAUAUAGUUGUGAUGUGUCUUAAAUCAAAUAAAAACUAUACUAGAUUAUUAAUUUGCAUUACGCUACAGGCCAAGUUAAUUUUUUUAUAAAUAUAAAAAAAAUAUUUAGAUAUUGUUAAUUUUUUUUUUCAGUAAAAAAAUCUAAAUCACUUGAAGAUUGACCUGAUAUAACUUGGUUGAUUUUACGAGUCUAAAGCAACUCAUACAACCCGAAAAAACAUAGUUUGACUAAAAAAAAAUUUAAGAUGAUAUCUUUUUUAAUAUUAAGAUAAAAAUAUAUUUUACUGUUUUAUUAAAUUAAAUAUAGAAAAAAAAGUUUUUUAAUAGAAGUAAAAUAAACACUUUUGUCUUAUGAUUUAUGUGCACAUUAAAAUGUGUUUUAUAUACUUGAUUUGGUUCUUGAUCUAUAGUAAUGAAUCAGUUUUAUUUAAAUAAUUAAGUUAUUAUAUGAAUAUGAAUUGAAUAUAAAUAAUUAAGUUAUUUGAAACAAUAAACAAUAAAAGGACAUGAGAGGAUGAAUAUGAAUUGAAUCCUAAUUAACUCCACUCUAAAACUAAUAACUUAUUAUAUGGACAAGAUCCAUUAACUAAGAAACGGACCAAUCCAGUAGAAUACUAAGCAAUGGACCAAUCCAGUAACAAGAAGUUAAGGAGACCCACUUCAAGUCAACGAGCCUUCUUCUCCAACCAGAAAAGAAAGGGGAAAGUGUCUUCUUAUUCACAUGCUUAAAUAAUAUCAUCUGCACAAAAAGAUAGCUUUCCUCAUGAUCUUCUUCCCACCUCCUCCUUACAUAUAACACCCUUCCUUCCUUUUUGGGCUUCUUUGAAUUCUGGGUCCUUUGAAUUCCUUUUUCGUUUCGGCUUUCUGUCCCGUAAUCUUUGCUAAAUGGGAUGAAAGAAGAAAAAUGCUUCCCCAGCAAUUGAUUGGCUGAUCUGUAAUGUAGCAGCAAGCAGCUGUAAUUAUUUAAUUAGCCGUCGGUGAAGAGGUCAAGUUUCAGUUCAGAAGGUGAGGUAUUGAAUACUAGUGGCACUCAACUUUUAUUUGCCUUUCCAUUUCGAUAACAUAUAUAUUCGGCAGCUUCAGUCUUACCUUGGCUCAACACCCCUCAUUUCCUGCUCUGUCAUCUGAGAGGGCCAGAGACAUGGAGGUUGAACAUGUUAGCCACCCAGAUCAUCCAUUGAUCCUCAUUAAUCAAGUUCUCGAAUAUAGUUGUGAACUAGUUAUUUGCUCUGGAUGCGAGGGACCUAUAUGGGGUCCUUGCUACAGUUGCACCUCUUGCUACUUCUUUCUUCACAAGAAAUGCGCCGAGCUGCCCCGUGAGAUCAUGCGGCGCAUUCAUCGUAGACACCCUCUCCAUCUACUGCCAAAGCCACCGUAUAAAACACGAUGCUUUUGUGAUCGGUGCUACAAAACUUGCAACAGUUUUGUUUACCAUUGUUCUUUUUGUAAGUUUGAUCUAGAUAUCAAAUGUGCUUUUCAACCGGGUUUUUUGGAAGUUGAUAGUCAGGCACAUCAAUUUACCCACAAGGAUCAUCCAUUGAUUUUGAAUGAAGAGCAAGAAUAUCAUGGUGAAGGAGUUGUGUGCUGUGUGUGCAAGGAACCAAUGUCUGGUCCUAGCUAUAGUUGCACUUCUUGCAACGUCUUUCUUCACAAGAAGUGUGCUGAGCUACCCCCAGAGAUCAAGAGGCACAGUCAUCCAGAACACCCUCUUUGUCUACUGCCAAAUCAUCACAUGAUCUGUAGUUUUUGCAAAGAAACUUGCUAUGAGAGUUUUGCUUACUGCUGUUUUGUGUGCGAAUUCAACCUCCAUAUCAAAUGUGCUUUUCCACCGUGCGUUUAUGCAGCUGAUCAGGAUCAGGGGCAUCAAUUUAGAAGCCUGCUGAAUCCACGUUCAUUCAAAUCAAUCUCCUUCACUUGCAAUGCAUGCGGCACAGAUGGAUAUGGCUCCCCAUUCAUAUGCACCAUGUGCCAACUCGUGGUCCACGAAGAAUGCAUUUCAUUGCCAGGCACCCUUAAAAUAGCACUGCACCAUCAUCCCCGAAUCAUCCACACCUAUCAUCCUCAACAAUGCAUCGAAUCUAUAAACAAGUACUGUGGAAUUUGCUGUCGGGAAGUUGACACAGAAUACGGAGUUUACUAUUGCCCAGACUGUGACUUUGUUGCACACGUGAAUUGUAGCAGAGAAUAUGGCGAUUCGGCAACAGAGACUGGAGGAGAAAACGAAGAAGAGCAAAGUGUGACUGUUGAUGAUCAAUUCAUGGAACCUAGCUUUCGCGUAGUCCGUGAGAUCAAGCAUGGAGAGGAGAGAAUAAUUGAAGAGAUCGAACAUUUCAGUCAUCAACAUAACCUAAUCCUUAAUGACAAGGUUGAUGAUGAUCUAAAGUGUGAUGGGUGCAUGCUACCAAUCUCAACUCCAUUUUAUAGUUGUGCCAGGUGUAAUUUCUUUCUUGACAAAACCUGCAUAGAAUUACCCAAGAAAAAAAAGUGGCAAUAUCACGAAAACCAACUGAUUCUUUCAUGGAGCCGAAGGGAACAUUUUCUGUACAACUGUGUUGUGUGUAAUCAAUAUUUUCGUGGGCUCAGGUACACAUGUGAUGUAUGUCGUCUCUGCAUUGAUGUCCGAUGCUUCAAAUCAUUGAAAGAUUCUUUUAAACAUGGAGGUCAUGAGCAUCCCCUUUAUCUUCCAGCGGACAGAAAGAAAAUUCUCCGUUGCACUAUUGGAGGUCGCGGGGUUCCCCCUUGGGUUGCAGAUGACGGAGAGAUUAUUCCCCAUUGCAGUGGCUGUUGUGUCAGUGAAGAAUCAAAGGUAUUUUUUAAAUGUGCGGUUUGCGAUUUCAAGCUGGGUAUGAAAUGUGCUACACUGCCAUACAAAGCAAGACACGAGUAUGAUGACCAUCCUCUCUUCCUCACCUAUAUUAAUGAAAAUGACUACCAACCUUCCUGUAUAAUUUGUGAAGAAGAUAGAGACCCAAAGCUCUGGUUCUACCGUUGUGAGGAAUGCGACUUCGAUGCUCAUCCAGAAUGUGCUCUCGGGAAAUACCCAUUUUUCAAGCCAGGGGGUGUUCUAACAUAUCCUAAACACCCUCACCCUCUUGCUUUGGUCAUCAAGACAGAGGAUUAUCGUCCGCAGGCAUGCGAUACUUGUGGUGAGCCUUGCGAUGACUUGGCCCUUGAAUGUACUGAUCCUAACUGCAGUUUUAUCGUCCACAGGAAAAGAAGGCAAUGCUCUAACUCAUUAUGGUAAUUGGAUGGCAGUUGUUGGCUUUUUUCUUAUUUUUGGGUUAUGAUUGUUGGCAGUUGCCAGACAGAGGAUUAUUAUCUCUGUUUCUAUUUUCGCGUAUGAGAUCACUUUUUUGUUUCUCUGUUUUGUUCUGAACAAUAAAAGAUGCUAUUUUAUUAAAACUGUCCUUGAAGGUAGUUUGUUGUUUCUUUGAGCCUUAGUAAGUGACAAAGAUGUCCAUAAAUUCUGCUUUUACAUUUUUGUUAUAGAUUUUAUUGUAAAUGCAUAAAAAUAUUGGCAUAUAAAAGAACACUUAUCUAACUGAUAUCAAUUAUUUUCAUUCAAAUAUUUAAUUUUUAUUUCCUUAACAUAAUCUAAUAUUAAAUAAAUAUAUAUUAAAUAAUAUUUAAAACGAACACCUCCGGGGCAUUCGAUAGCCUUUUCCUUUAAGAUAUAUAAUGAAAACGUUUAGAAACUGAUUGAUUUUUAAUUUAGACAAAAAGCUCUUUCUAGCUCAAACCCAAUUUAAUUAUUUUUCAGGCUAAUUAAUGGAUAGUCCAGAAAAAAUAAUUAAUGCUUUUUGAAACUUCUACUGCAUUUUUUUUUAGCGGCAAAAACAAAUUAUUGAGUAAAAUCACUAUAUUAAAAUCAUAAUAUAAUUUGUUGUUUCUUUGUGCCUUCGUAGUGACAGAGAUGUCUGACCAUUUUUCUUAGCUUAGCAGGAAGCUCUCCAUAAAUUCUGCUUUUACAUUUUUGAUAUAGAUUUUAUUGUAAAUGCAUAGAAAUACUGUCAUAUCAAUUAUUUUCAUUCAAAUAUAAAAUAACACUUAUCUAACUGAUAUCAAUUAUUUUCAUUCAAAUAUUUAAUUUUUAUUUCCUUAAACACAAUCUAAUAAUAAAUAAAUGUAUUUAAAUAAUAUUUAAAACGCAUACCUCAAAGGCAUUCGAUAGCUUUGUCCUUUAAUAAGAUAUAUCAUGAAAAAGUAAGUUAAUUCAUGUUUUUGGUAUUUUUUCUUUUAAGAAGAAUAAGAACAAGUAUCGAUCUUCUUUAUCUAAUUUCUAAACCACGAAAGAAUAAGAACAAGCCAUUUCGAUCGAUCAUUUGGUUUUCCAUUUGCUAAGACAUGAUAAUCCCCCGGGGAGGAGAUAAUUAUGCUGGAAUUGACUUUGAUGUUACAACAAAAAGCUUGGCCAACAUUUCAAGUAUUAAAAUAAAAAUAUAAAAAAUCACCUGAGUCAACUCGAGUUAACCUAUUAAGUUAUUUAUAAAUCAUGAAUCGUGAUAACCUAAUAAAAAAAACUGAAAAAAAUCAUGAUGUCCAACUCAAUAUUAAAAAAUUAAAUUGAAGAAAAAAAUCAGUUAAGAAAAUAAAAUUAAAAAAAAACUUGAAUCAAUAGGGUUAACCACCCAAACUUAUGAUUUGAAUUAUAAGGCUCGGACAACAUAAUAAAAAAUAAAUUCAAUGUCAAAAAUGAAAUUGCAAAAAAAAAAUAGAGAAGCAUUUAUUAAAAAAAUAAAAUGAAAAAAAGAAAGAAAAAAAAAGCACUAUGAAAAAAGAAAAAAAAAGGCACUAAAGUGCUUUGUUUAGAUGCCACAGGUACUUUGCCUUAAUUUUUUCGGAGUUGAUCAAUGGAUUAACCAAGAAAUAGAUUUUACUUCUAACAUUCUCUGAAGAAAAUCUUUGUUUAACUUUCUUAAUACAUUUUACUGUAAGAAACAAGGAGAAAGGAAAAAGAAAAAGGACAAACGAGAAAUUACUUGGUUGAGAUAACCAAGAAAUAGGUUUAUCAACGGAAGGACCUAAUUUUCUGUUCCAGAUAAACUUGAUGAAUCCGCUGUUUCGUAUUUUAAUUAGUGCUUGUUUGAAAGUGUAGUUGCAGUUUUUUUUAAAAGUGUUUUUUAUGCUGAAAUAUAUGAAAAUAAUAUUUUUUUUAUUUUUUAAAAAUUAUUUUUGAGAUCAGUGCAUUAAAACGAUCCAAAACAUACAAAAAAAUUAAUUUUUAAUAAAAAAAUUUGAAUUUUGGUAUAACAUGGUUUAUACCGCGUUCAUCCAAACCACGUAUAAAAUAACAUCAUGUAUAAAACAUUAAUUCAAAAUAAAAAAAAUAUUGUUUUAAAAACAUUUUUAAAACAACAAACAAAUUAUAAGUUCUGAGUUUGAAUUAAAAAUACUUCUAUUUGAUAUGGUCAUUUCAAAAUAUUUUUUUUUUAUUUUUACAAAAAAAUCAAUUUUGUUGUUAGAGAAAAACAAAAAUCAAGGGGUCAAAAUUAAAAGUUUGGUGAAGUAGUAGCCUUUUUAAGAAAACAUAAGUGUCACAGCCUUUUAAACUUAAAAUUUGGUCAAAUAUUAGUUUUGAUCCCUUCGGCUUGGAAAUUAUACUAUUUGGUUCAAAAUUUUAUUUUAUUUACAUUUAAGUCAAUAAAUUUAAAAGAAAAGGGUAAAAGUUGCUAGAUUACAACGAAUGAGAGAGAAUUAUUAUUAAUCACAUUCUAACAAUCAAAAAAAAUCAUUCUUGAUAUUAAUGAAUUCUAUUUCAAAAAAAGAAUUUCAUUAAUGUAUUUUUUGCCCAAUGAACUUUUUUUAAACCCAAACAAAUAUUGAGUUUUUAUUAAGUUAUUCAAUAAGAGUUGGUACAUAUAACAUUAUGUGCAAUUUGCUUAAAUAUUUUAGUUAAUUCAAAUGAAAUAUCAUAAUAUUAGUUAAUUAUGUAAUUGUUCACAUUUCAAGGUUAUUAAGAGUUAAACCGUUUGAUUUUAAAAAUUAAAAAAAAAGUGUUUUAAAAUUAAGUGUUUCCUUUUUUUUCUCCUUAAUGUUUUUUGGUUACUUAAUUUUUUUUUUCAAUUUGAUCUUUACAUAUUUAUUAAAUUUAGAAUUAAGCUUCAUGAUAUAUUUCAUGCUCUUUUCUUUCGAGUUUUCAUGGUCUUUUAAAACAUCAUGGCAUUGAGUUUGUUUUUAAUUUUACAAAGAAGAAUUCAAUUUGAUUGUUUACAAAGAAUUAAAAAUGAGAGGAUAAAAAUUGAAAAUUAGGUGAAAUGGUAGCUCUUUAGAUGAUAUUUUCACUUCUCAGUGCUUAAUUUCUUGUUUUUUUUAGUUCGGUCAUCGAGCUUUGUUUUUUUUCAAAUUUACCCUUUCACAUUGCAUUGAUUGAUGAUUUGGUUCGUAUUGCUUCUUUCAGUUUAUCAUAAUCUCCAAAAAACUACCACCACAUUAGGUUGGUUCUCUAUUUUACAAAAAACAAAAAAUCAAUUUUUUUGUUAGAGAAAAACAAAAAUUGAGGGGAUCAAAAUUAAAAGCUUGGUGAAAUGAUAACCUUUUUAAAAAACAAUGGGUGUUAAAGUCUUUUAGACUUAAAAUUUAGUUCAAUAUUAGUUUUGGUCCCUUCAGCUUGAAAUUAUACUAUUUGGUUCAAGAUUUUAUUUUAUUUACAUUCCAAUUCUUAAAUCUAAAAGAAGACAAUAAAAGUUAUUGUUAACCAUAAUUUAGCAACCGAAACAAGUUGUUCUUGAAGUUAAUGGGUUCUAUUUCAAGAUAAGAAUUCCUCAUCAGAUUUCAAGAUAAUGGGUUGUUUAGAGUAGGUUUGUUUUCAUGUUUUAAAAAUAUUUUAAAAAAAAUUUAAUUUUUUUUGUUUUAUAUUAAUUUUUUUGUGUUUUUAAAUCAUUUUAACGUGCUAAUGUCAAAAAAAAAAAUUAAAAAAAAAAUAUUAUUUCGAUAAAUUAUUUAAGUGAAAAACACUUUGAAAAACAAUUCCCACCACAAUACAAAAAAAAACUCUUAUUAGUUGAAACUAAAUUAUUGGUAGCGCUAAAUUUUAUCUAAAUUUCUUUUAACAUAAAAAAAAUAUUCAGAUGUUGUUAAUGAUUUUUUUCUAAUGAAAAAAAAAUUAAUGCAAGAGUUGAUUUGAUGUGACUUGGUAUAUUUGACAGGUCUAAAAACAAUCCAAAUGACCAGUAAAAACAUAAUUUAACUAAAAAAUUAAUAUAAUAUUUUUUUUAAUAUUAAAAAGAGAAGUUAUUGAAUCGACUUGAAUCAAUGUAGGUUAACAUAUCAAAUUCAUUACCUGAGUUAUGAGAGCAGUAGGAAGUUUGAAUAAGAAGUGCACCUAUUUGAUAGGUCACCUCAUUUGAUGAACAGUGGUCAUUUCAAUCACAAGUUUUGCCUACUCCUCGAGGCACGAACACAUAACCUCCAAAAACAAAUCACUAAUUAAUGUGUGAUACAUAAACAAAGAAAAAUAAAUUACUUGAUUUGCUGCUGUAAAGAUAUUAAACUUACAUACACCCAUAUUAUUUUAUAUUAAAUAAAUAAAAUUAAUAAAAUUUAAACUUUUGAUUAUUCAAGACUCUAGUAUUAUAUAAAAAAUUAUUUUAAUUCAGUAACUUAAAUUAUUAAUUAAAGAGGAAAUGAGAAAUUGGUCCGUGCCCACCAUUCCAGAAUACAAUAGACAUCCAGCUCACAUGAUUACUUUUACAUGGAUAAUCAGUCAAGACAUGACCCUGGGGCUCUCAUGAUUUCACGUGAACAACAACAUUUUCUCAUUGGCAAAGGUUUUCACAAUGAUGCUGACUUGAAGACGUGACAAAUGCCUUUUUUUUUUUUUUUUUAUCUGAGAUUUUAAAAUAUAAUUUAUAUUAUUUUUUAAUAAAUAUAAUUUAAGGUAUAAUUAUCAAACCUAUUCUAGCCGGUAAGUCGACUUAAAGUCUAGCCACCCAGGCUUGAUUUCUUUUUGAACCAAUAAAUCAACCUUUAACCUGGUUACUGUAUCAAACUUGAGUGAGAUUUAAUCAGGUUAUUUCCAAGGAAUUUUACAAAAAAUUAUCUCGAUGUUUUGUUUUCAAAAAACCACUAAAAUGAUAUCGUUUUGAAACUAACCACUCUGUUACUGGGGACUUUAUUCGGGUAUGAUAAAGUUCAACAAGAUUUCCUGCUUUAUAUAGUUAUUUGAGACUCUUUUGUGUGAGAAUCCAUGGAGUUUUCAUCUGUUCUUUACAUUUGUUUUGUAUCUGUUUCAUUAUCAGUAUCAUCAAAUAAUUUGUUGAGUCUGACAGAUAGAAAUUAUCCCAGUUCAUUCACAGGAUGAAGACUGGCGAAGAAUCAAGCGAGAAAAAUGAUAAGGGAGAUCAAGUUUGCGGGUUAGCAGCAAAUGUGAAAAAGAAUUUGGAAACCUUAGGUCCAAAUCCUUUAUCGGAAGAGUGUUGUAUCUAUAAAGUUCCAAAGCGACUGCAAGUGUUAAACGACAAGGCCUACACACCUCAAGUAGUCUCCAUUGGUCCAUUUUUAUGUAAUACUAUUUAACUUACUUGAUUUGCUGCUGUAAAGAUAUUAACUUAUCAGUAACCCUUCUUUUUUGUUCUAAGUUCUGUAUAUAUCACAUUUCUUGAUUUGUAGAGAACAAAAACAUAAUUAACCUCGACUUCAUUAAUAAUUAUAUAUCUAAUACAUUUUAUAAAUAACUACAAAAUUAUACAAAAAAAACUAGAAGUCAUAUGUUAAUCACUAUAUGGCUUGUGAGAGGAUUUGUUUUGGAUUGCAAAGUGUUUCUUUCUAUUUUUCAUUAAAUUUUUUUCAGUUACUUAUUUUUUUUCAAUUUAACUUUUACACAUUUAAUUAAUUUAAGUAAAAAACACUUUAAAAAACAAUUAAAAAAAAUUAUUCUUGAUGUUAAUAAGUACCAUUUCAAGAUAAAAAUUUUAUUACUGUAUGUUUUGCUCCUCAUCUUACUAGAAAAAGUAAAUUCUUUAGGGAUUUUUUUUUGAACCGGAACAAAUUUUGAAUUAUUUAAUCAAUUAAACAUUGUUUAGAGGUUAUGUUUACGAGGUGUUUAUAAGUGUUUUUAAGUGAAAGAAAUGAUUGAAAUGUUGUUUUGUGUUCAAAGAGAGGGGAGCAAUUUUCUAGUGACUUCCAGCCUCUAGAGUUUCUCGACGAUGAAACAAAUAGGUGGCGUGUUUUUAAUUUGUCACUACAAAAAACAUAUUGGAUUAAUUAGAAAAAAAAAAAAAUGUGUUGAUUGACGUGCUAGGCCUCCUGGAUCAGUGCUUAACCAUUUUUUGCCCUUUUAAGUCUAUUUAAUGUAGAAUUAGAUAACUAAAUAUAUAUAUAUAUAUAUAUAUAUAUAUAUAUAUAUAUAUAUAUUUAUUAAUUUAUUAAAUUAAUACAAAAUAUAUUAAAGGUGUUUUUUUUAAUUAACAUUAAAAUUUUAGUUUUAGUUUGAAUAAUGUUAUAGUUGUCUUUUUAAAAUUUUGACAACCAUUAUUUUUUAACAAACAAUUAUUAUUUUUAGUUUCUCCAACAUUUUUUUUUCGAAAUGCAUUCAAUGAUUACCUUAUGAUUUAUAAUACUAUAAAUUUGACUUGACAUGUUUUAAACAAUAAAUAGUUAAAUUUUUAUUUUUAUUAUAUAUAAUUGAUGCCAUUUUUAUUUUAAUUUAAUAAUUUGUGGGUAAUAAACAUGAAAAAUAUGAUAUGAAAUAACAUGAGAGGAUCAAUAUGAAUAUUUGAAUUAAGAUCCUAACUCCACUCAAGAUAGCUCCUCUAAGACUAAUAGUUUCUAAUACUAUUCUUCAUUUUCAUCUUUUGUUUUGUAUUCAUUGUUAAAUUAUUAUAUGGACAUGAUCCAUUUUCAUCUGAAUUUAAUGAACAUGAUGAAAUGUGAUAUAUAAGAGAAUGUGUUUUCAUUUUUUUUUUAUAUCUCUAAUUAUAUAAUUUAAUUCCAAGAUAAAUGAUCUUCUCUAACAUGUCCUGUCUAUGUUUUCCAUUCAAAUUAACAGAAAAGCCACACGACCUUCACAAAUGUAUUUUGAUAUAUAAAAAUAUCACUUACUCUAUAUAUAUAUGAUAAGUAGCUCAUUAUUUCUUAUAUCUCAAAGAUUGUUUCUAAUAAGUCUUUAUAAGUGUAAUUAUAUCAGUUAUAUCUUUAAUUUUUAGUUAAGUUAUUCAAUAAGAGGCUGUGCAAUUAUAUCAGUUAAAAAAAUAAGUGUAUUUUUAGAAAGUUACUUCUCAUUUCUUAUUUUCUUGAAAUAAAUUAGAUAAAAAUAAUUAAAAUAAAAGAGAUAAGAUAAAAUAUAAGACAAAGAAAAAGUUGUAUUUAAUAAUAAUAUAUAAGUUAGAGUAAUUGUCUUUAUACAAAUAAUAUAUGAAACCAUCCAAACUUAUUUGAAACAAUAAAUAAUUAAGUUAUUAUAUGAAUAUUAAUUGAUUUUAAAUAAUUAAGUUAUUUGAAACAAUAAUCAAUUAAAGGACAUGGGAGGAUGAGUAUGAAUUGAAUCCUAAUUAACUCCACUCUAAAACCAAUAGUUUCUAAUACUAUUUUUCAUUUCAAUCCUUUACCUUGUAUUUAUUGAUAAAUUAUUACAUGGACAUGAUCCAUUAACUAAGCAAUGGACCAAUCCAAUAGAAUAAAGACAUUUGUUUGCAUAAUUAAAACAACAAUAAUUCUAAGAACCUAUAAUUAAUCUGGAAAGAAAAUAGAAAGGAAACUCAUGAUCUUCCUCUACCUCUCUCUUUUCAUUAUAAAACCUAGAAAUCCAAAGGCAAUACUUUAUGUAAGGGAUGAUAAAGGAUGCUUAUGAGUCGGCUUUUCAAAAUGAAAUGGUAAUUUCUUCUACGAUUUUGCUUUAGAUAUAUUGAUUUACGAUUUUGAUAAUUAAAGUAUUUUACCAUACAAUUUUAAUGUUUAGAGGUGCUCUGAUGCACAAUAAUUAGAGUUAGUUUAUUUUUAUAUUUCGAACAGGCAAACGAGUAAUAUAGGAAGUUGAGGAAACCCAUCAAAAGUCAACGAGCCUUCUUCUCCAACAAGAAAAGACAGGGGAAAGUGUCUUCUUAUGCACAUACUUGAACAAUCUCACCCUCACAAAUAGAGGAGCCUGUAGCUUUCCUCGUGAUCUUCUACCCGCCUCUUCCUUACAGGUAACGCCCUUUCUUCCUUUUCGGGCUUCUUUGAAUUUUGGGCCCUUUGAGUUAUUUUUCGUUUCGGCUCUGUCCCAUAAUCUUUGAUAAAGGGGAAGAGGGAAGAGGUCAAAUUUCAGUUCAGAAGGUGAGGUAUUGAAUAAUGAAUACUAGCAGCACUCAACUUUUAUUUGCCUUUCCAUUUCGAUAACAUAUAUAUUCGGCAGCUUCAAUUUGGCCUGCCUAAGUCUUGUCUUGGCUCAACACCCCUCAUUUCCUGCUCUGUCCUCUAAGAGAGCCAGAGACAUGGAGAUUGAACAUUUUAGCCACCCAGAUCAUCCAUUGAUCCUCAUUAAUCAAGUUCUCGAAUAUAGUUGCGAACUAGUUAUUUGCUCUGGAUGCGAGGGACCGAUAUGGGGUCCUGGCUACAGUUGCACCUCUUGCUACUUCUUUCUUCAUAAGAAAUGCGCCGAGCUGCCCCGUGAGAUCAUGCGGUGCAUUCAUCCUAGACACCCUCUCCAUCUACUGCCAAAGUCACCAUAUAAAGGAGAAUACGGUUGUGAUCGCUGCCAAAAAACUUGCAAGAGUUUUGUUUACCAUUGUUCUGUCUGUGAAUUUGAUCUUGAUAUCAAAUGUGCUUUUCAACCGGGUUUUUUUGAAGUUGAUAGUCAGGCACAUCAAUUUGCCCACAAGGAUCAUCCAUUGAUUUUGAAUGAAGAGCAAGAAUAUCAUGGUGAAGGAGUACAGUGUUGUGUGUGCAAGGAACCAAUGUCUGGUCCUAGCUAUAGUUGCACUUCUUGCAACUUCUUUCUUCACAAGAAGUGUGCUGAGCUACCCCCAGAGAUCAAGCAGCAUUUGCAUCCAGAACACCCUCUUCGUCUACUGCCAAAUCAUGAUAUGAUCUGUGAUUUUUGCAACGAAACUUGCUAUGAGAGUUUUCUUUACUUUUGUAUUGUGUGUGAAUACAACCUCCAUAUCAAAUGUGCUUUUCCACCGUGCAUUGAUGCAGCUGAUCAGAAUCAAAGGCAUCAAUUUAGACGCCUAAUGAAUCCACUUUCAUUAAAAUCAAUCUCCUUCACUUGCAAUGCAUGUGGCACAGAUGGAGAUGACUCCCCAUUUUGGUGCACUAUGUGCCAACUCGUGGUCCACAAAAAAUGCAUUUCAUUGCCACGCACCCUUAAAACGGAACUGCACCAGCAUCCCCGAAUCAUCCACACCUAUCAUCCUCAAAAACGCAUCGAAUCUAUAAACAAGUACUGUGGAAUUUGCUGUCGGGAAGUUGACACAGAAUACGGAGUUUACUAUUGCCCGGACUGUGACUUUGUUGCACACGUGGAUUGUAGUGGAGAAUAUGGGGAUUCUGCAACAGAGAUUGUAGUAGAAAACGAAGAAGAGCAAAGUGUGACUGUUGAUGAUCAAUUCAAUGAACCUAGCUUUCGCGUUGUCCGUGAGAUCAAGCAUGGAGAGGAGAGAAUAAUUGAAGAGAUCGAACAUUUCAGUCAUCAACAUAACCUAAUCCUUACUGACAAGGUUGAUGAUGAUCUAAAGUGUGAUGGGUGCAUGUUACCAAUCUCCACUCCAUUUUAUAGCUGUGCCAGUUGUAAUUUCUUUCUUGACAAAACCUGCAUAGAAUUACCCAGGCGAAAAAAGUGGCAAUAUCACGAAAACCAACUGAUUCUUUCAUGGAGCCGAGGGCCACAUGAUCUGUUCUACUGUAAUGUGUGUAGGCAAUAUUUUCGUGGGCUCAGGUACAAAUGUGAUGUAUGUGCACUCUGGAUUGAUGUCCGAUGCUUCAAAUCAUUGGAAGAUUCCACUAAACAUGGAGGUCAUGAGCAUCCCCUUUAUCUUCCAGCGGACAGAAAGAAUAUACUCCGUUGUAAUAUUGGAGGUCGCGGGCUUCGCCCUUGGGUUGCAGCGGACGGAGAGAAUAUUCCCCAUUGCAGUGGCUGUUGUGUCAGUGAAGAAUCAAAGGUAUUUUUAAAAUGUGUGGUUUGCGAUUUCAAGCUCGGUAUGAAAUGUGCUACACUGCCAUAUAGAGCAAGACACGAGUAUGAUGACCAUCCUCUCUUCCUCACCUAUAUUAAUGCAAAUGACUACCAACCUUCCUGUAUAAUUUGUGAAGAAGAUAGAGACCCAAAGCUCUGGUUCUACCGUUGUGAGGAAUGCGACUUCGAUGCUCAUCCAGAAUGUGCUCUCGGGAAAUACCCAUAUGUCAAGCUUGGGGGCGUUCGCACAUGUCCUAAACACCCUCACCCUCUUGCUUUGGUCGUCAAGACAGAGGAUUAUCCAGCAUGCGAUACCUGUGGUGAGCUUUGCGAUGACUUCGCCCUUGAAUGUACUGAUCCUAACUGCAGUUUUAUCGUCCACAGGAACAGAAAGCAAUGCUUUAACUCGUUAUGGUAAUUGGAUUACAGUUGUUGGCUUUUUUCUUAUUUUUGGGUUAUUAUUGUUGGGUGAAUGGAUGCUUAUUAUCUCUGUUUCAAUUUUCGCAUAUGGGAUCACUUUUUUAUUUUUCUGUUUUUUUCUGAACAAUGGAUGCUAUUUUAUUAAAACUGUCAAGGUAGUUUGUUGUUUCUUUGUGCCUUCGUAAUGACAAAGAUGUCUGACCUUCCACCAUUUUUUUUAGCUUAGCAGGAAGCUCUUGAUCCACUCCAUAAAUUCUGCUUUUACAUCUUGCUUCCUGAAGUUCAGGAAACAGCCGAAGGUUUUUUGGAAAUUAUAUAUCGAAGAUCUUAAAUCAUUUGGAUUUGAAUGCUAUCUUCAUCAUUACAAUCUUAUGUUGCUAAUAUCCAUCCCACAUGAAAGUUCAUCUCACUUGUUGUUUCGAUUUACUCUUUACAUUUUUGUUAUAGAUUUUAUUACAAUUUUUCUUUUAAAGAAGAAUAAGAAUAAGCCUCAAUAUUGUUUAUCUAAUUUCAAAACCAUCAAGGGAUUUAGAGGCCCAAAUCCCCUUUCGAUUAUUUGGUUAGAUAAGAUAAAUCAACGGUGAGGCAAUUUAGAACCUGAUUGAUUUUUAAUUUAGAUAAAAAACCCCUUUCAAGUUCAAACCCAAUUUAAUUAUUUUUAAUGGGGUACUCCAAAAAAUAUAAUUAAUGCUUUUGAAACUUCUACUGCAUUUAAAAAAAAAAACAAGUAACACAAAAUUCUAUCAAGUAAAAUCACUAUAUUAAAAUUAUAAUUCUCUAAUUAAAAUGUAAUAUUAUAGUGUUUUUAUAUUAAAAAAAUCUGAAAUAAAAUAAAAAAAUAAUAAUUAAAUUCUAAAUUAAAUAGAAAAAAAAUUCUAAAUCAACUAAUAAAAUAUUACAAGUUGGAUAGUUUUGUGGUUUUAUUUGAAAGUCUUACUGAUUUUAAAAGACUAUUAAAUUCUAAUUUUAUAGAAAAUAAAGCUUUUAAAAUCUUCUAAUAAAAUUUGAGUUGGAUUGAGAUAAAAUCUUCUAAUGGGCUACUCUGCCAUGUAAAGCUAGACACAUGUACAAUGACCAUCCUCUCUUUCUCACCUAUAAUUAUCCAAAAUCCAAAUUACUACCAAUUUGUUUGUCAAAUUUGUGAAAAUCAUAAAGCUCUGGUUCUACUCUUGUGAGAAAUAUGACUUUAAUACUCAUCCAGAAUGUGCUUUUAGGAAAUACUCAUAUAUCAAGGUAAUGAGCAUUUACACAUGACUUUCAGACCCAUUGAUGCACAAAUCCGUGAAUUGAAGUAGUAAAUUGGAUUGCAUUUUUCUUAGUUGUUUGGUUUAUUUGAUAUUUAAUAGAUGUUUAGAUGGUAGCCUGUAAAGGAGAGUUCUUUGAUCUUCUUCUAUUACUGUGAUGUGUGUGUAGGUUUUUGGAAGAAGAAGAAUAAUUUUAUUUCUUAUUCAUUCAAUUGUUAUGGUUACAAGAUAAAUGUUAAAUAGUAGAGGAGAUCACCAAAUUAGAAAGGCCACAAAUUAGGAAAAACAAGAAACGGGAGCUUUGUUAAUGUUGGCAUAUUCAUAGGCAUUUCACAGCUCUUCCUCUUCAAGAAUUCUCUUUAGCCAUAACAUUUCACAAACUUCAUUGCCAUAACCCUAUAUUCUACCUCAGCACUGCUUCUUGCAACCACAUUUUGUUUUUUAUUUUGCCAUGUAACUAUAUUUCCUCAAACUUAAGUACAAUAUUCUAAUGUGGAUCUUCUAUCAAUGACUGAACCCGCCCAAUCUGCACAUCAGUGUAUGCUUCUAUUGUCUGCGCUUGUCUGGUGUGCUUUUCAAGUGUAUGAGAAUCCAAUAAACUGCUUCAAGAUGUUUUGCGUGGGGUGAAUGCAUAAACUAGCUUACUGAAAUCACAGCAAAUGCAAUAUUAGAUCAUGUAUUUGAUAAGUAAAUAAACUCUCCAACUAACUUUUGAUACUGUGUUGUAUUCACACUGGAUUGCCUUCCUUGUCAUCUUCAAGUUUCUGAUUGGGAUCUAUUGGAGUGUCUGCUAGCCUACAACCACUCAUCCCAGUCUCCUUAAGAAGAUCAAUGACACACUUCUGUUGGGAUAUAACGAUCCCCUUCUUUGAAAGAGCAAUCUCUAUUCCAAGAAAAUCCUUAAUCUCUAUUUCAAUGGCGUAUGGGUGAUUAUUAGAUUGAAAGGUUUCCCUUCUUUGAGAGCACCUUUUUUUAAGUAAAACGAAAACAACUUUGAGUUUAUACGCUACUUGUAAGAAUAGCAUAUGUGAGUAUGAUUUUGAGAUUUGAAAGAAUUCCUUGUUUAAGAGGAAAUUGGCCUUUGUCAUGUGAAAUGAACACAUUUUCAAUUUAUGCCCUGCAGAAUAUGCAGAGGAUUUUCUCCUGUGUUUAUUUAAAGUUGAUUGUCAGGCACAUCAACUUGCCCUCAUAGAUCAUCCAUUGAUUAUGAAUCAAGAGCAAGAAUAUCAUGGUGAAGGAGUUAUGUUCUCUGUGUGCGAGGAGGCAAUGCCGGGUCCUAGCAAUUGUUACACUUUUGGCGAAUUCUUUCUUCAGAAGAAGUGUGUUAAGCUACCCCUGGAGAUCAAGUGGCACUUGCACCCUCUUCACCUGCUGGCAAAGCCACCAUCUCAUUACUCAAGAUGCGUUUGUGACAAGAGUUUUGCUCGCCAUUGUUGUUUCUGUGAAUUUGACGAUAUCAAAUGUGCUCUUCCACCGUGCAUUUUUUAACUUGAAGGUCAAAUUAUUUGUCUAGCAUAGUAGCUUCAGUUGAAGAUUGCUUGUUUCACUUGCAAUGCAUGUGGCACUGAUUUGUUGAAGAUUAUUACCAUCAGACGUCACAUCUGUUGCAUUUCUUCAUUCAGCUAACCCAGUCUCAGAAACUUUUCCCGGUGUAUAGAAAGUUUCACCAAAAGCUACUAUGUUUUUUUUUUUCGGAAUUCCUUUGUUUAGGAAUUAUUUUCCAAAUUUUCCUGCAUUUUAAAAAACACUUUUCAGUCAAAAUAAAAUUUAGAUAUGUCAUAUUAUUUGCUGAUUAUAUCAAAUUUGGUCCUCAAACUUUUGAUUGCUAUAUAUAUUUUGUUUUGAAUAUUUAUUUUUUAAUUUCAUCUCUUAAAAUUUAAUUUUUAUAUUAACUUUGGUCCUUAUUUUUAUAAUUGUUAUUUGCUUUUUCCUUAUCAUUUUUUUAUUGAAAUUUUUUAUCUAUCAAAUUUGGUCCUCAUUCUUUUGAUUGUUACUUAUUUUAUUUGAAAUAAUUUAUGAAAUGUUAAUUAUUAUUAUUUUAAUUUCUUCAUCUUUCAAUUUUUUUUUAUUUUUUAGAUUUGAUCUCUAUUAUUUUGAUUAUUAUUUAUUUUAUUUGAGAUAAUUUAUGAAAUUAUAUUUUUUUUUAAUUUAAUUUUUACAGCACAUUGAGCCAUGAAAGUGACCUGUUUUGGAAUGAGUCCAGGAGUGGGACUUUGGAAUUGCGGUUAGAUCAUGAUUUUAAAAUUUUAUUUGUUUCAUUUUAAAUUAAUUUUUUAUGUGUAUAUAUAUAUAUUAAAAAUUAUUUUAAUUUAUUUUUAAACAAAAAAUAUUUUAAAAAACAAAAGGCUUCCAAAACUACAUAGCAUCGAUUUUGCUUCGAAAACAACGUGGCAACUGAAUACAUCCAGUUAAAUGCAUUUUCCUAAAGCAGUUUUCCUUGUAAAAUUUUUACACUCCCUUCGUACUUGUUUGGGAUUGUAAUUGGGUUACGGUUUAAAAUAUUUUUUUAUUUAGAAAUAUAUUAAAAUAAUAUUUUUUAUUUUUAAAAAAUUAUUUUUGAAAUCAGCACAUCAAAACAAUCCGAAAAUAUAAAAAAAUUAUUUUUUAACAAAAAAAAUUAAUUUUUUUAAAAACACGAGUUGACCCGUAUUUUCAAACGGGGUUGAAGAUGGUUGUCGUCUACUCGUGCUUCCUUUUCUUUUUCUUUUAUUUUUAUUCCAUAGUAAAAAAAAAUUAUUAGUUUAUAUGUUAAUCAAGAUUGAGUUUUUUAUUCAAAUGAUUUUAAAUAUAAACAAUUUAAAAGUUAUGAACCAUCGAACAUUCCAUUUAAAGUUAUAUAGUUAUGUUGUGAAGGGUCUUAAAUCAAAUAGAAACUAUACUAGAUUAUUGACUCACGAUAUACUGCGAGUUAGUUCAAAUUUUUUUAAAUAUAAAAAAAAUAUUCAGAUGUUUUUAAUUUUUUUUUCUAUCAAAAAAAUCUAAAUCAUGUGAGGGUUGACCUUGUAUAACUUGAUUAACUUUGUAGGUCCAAAACAACCCAUAUAAUCUGAAAAAACAUAGUUUUACUAAAAAGAAUUCAAAAUAAUAUCUUUUUAAUAUUAAAAUAAAAAUAUGUUGGAUUGUCUGGGAUCAACCUGGGUUAACAUGUCAAAUUUGUGAUUUAAAUCAUGAGACUAUGAUAACCUCUCAUAAAUAAUAAAUCAAAAUAAAUUGUGAAGUCUAAAUCCUCAAUUAAUCUAGUGUUGAAUAAUAAAAUUAAAAAAAAAUAGAAAAUAAUCUAAAAACAUUAUCCGAGUUAACCGUCAAACUCACCACUCACGUUAUAAUAUCAAUCUAACUUUUAAGAACGAUUUCGCUUUAAGAACCACACAUUUUUCAAGAAAAUACAUUUUAAAAAACAAUUUUUACCACUUUUUCAAAGAGUCCCAACUCCCCAAUCCACAUAGUAUAUGUUUUGCUUUGAAAACAACGUGGCAACUGAAUGGUGGUCCAGUUAAACACAUUUUCCUACUCAGCGGUUUUCCUUUAGAAAUGAUGAAUAAAAAAAAUAGCGAUGUUGCUAAUAUUUAUUUUUAGUAAAAAAUAAAUUUAAUUAUGUGAUGGUUAAUUUAAUAUAAUCUGAUUAAUUUUACAGGUUUAAAAAUAAUUUAUACAGCUUGAAAAAAUAUAAUUUAAUUAAAAAAAAUUUAAAAUAAUAUAUUUUUUUAAUAUUAAAAUAAAAACAUGUUGGAUUGAUUAGCAUCAACAUGAGUUUGAACAAAUAUUUAAAAAAAAAAUAUCAAAAACAUUACACAGGACUCAUUCUUCCUAGAGCCAGAAAAAAAAAAUGUAUACAAUAUAUACAGAAUUAGAUUUGAAGAAGACGAGAGAGCAAACUCUUUGUCCUCUCUUACCCACGAGAAUUGAUUGAGGAAAGGAACAAUGAAGAGAACUUCGGAAUCAAAUAUAAUUAGAAUCAAAUAUAAUUAGAGUCAAAUAUUUUUAUAAACUCAAGUCUAUAUUGGAAACCAAUAUUAUUCCUAAUUGAUUUAAAUUCAUGCCUCCUUUUAUUCUUCCAAGUAAAUAACACAGAAACCUCAAACCUGGUAUUCUCUCAACAUGUGCAUCACUAUGUUGUCAUCCUAUACAUAUGUCAUAAAGGUUAAUUCCAAUAAUUAAAAGGUUGUGAAAUUGGUGCAAAACCCUACCUCUAAUGUUUUUUUAUUUCCUUGAAGGGGAAAAAAAGGUGAAAAUUUCAUCUUUUGCCUGGUUUCCAAAUGCAGACCUUGAUGCAAGGAGCCUGACAGAACCCCAUGUAGUUGAAUGCGAUUUUCUCCCUUAUAAUGCAUUAAUUCUUCUUCCACACAUGUGAUGGCCAUGGAAAAAAUAAUUUGGAAAAGUAGGUUUUUCAGAUUUGACUGUACCUCCUUGGAGAAUAGACGCAAGAUCCAAAAUUUUAUUGGAUAUAUGCUUCCCUUUUUCAACCAUGCAAAUAGCAAAGUACAUGGUCUUUUAGGUUCGGCGUGAGAGUUACUUGGUCAGACCGAGGAAUAUAUGGGCUCAUUGCUAUGAGAAAGACAAAGUAGAAAAGAAAUGUUCCUUUUCAGCUUCUCAGAAAUUAAACAUGCUCAUUUAUAAUACUAUUUUUCAUUUCGUUAAUAACUUAUUAUAUGGACAUGAACCAUUGACUAAGCAGUGGACCAAUCCAAUAGAAUAAUAAGCAAUCCAGUAACAAGAAGUUAAGGAGACCCACCUCAAGUCGACGAGUCUUCUUCUCCAACCAAAAAAGAUAGGGGAACGUGUCUUCUUAUUCACAUGCUUGAGCAAUCUCAUCCGCACGAAUAGAGGAGCCUGUAGCUUUCCUCAUGAUCUUCUUCCCACCUCCUCCUUACAGAUAACACCCUUCCUUCCUUUUCGGGCUUCUUUGAAUUUUGGUAUCCGAUCUUAAUGGGAAAUCACUGUGUUCUGGAUCUCGUAGGUUGAUCUGUAAUGUAGAAGUAAGCAGCUGUAAUUAUUUAAUUAGCUGUCGGUGAAGAGAUCAAGUUUCAGUUCAGAAGGUGAGGUAUUGAAUACCUCAACUUUUAUUUGCCUUUCCAUUUCGAUAACAUAUAUAAUUGGCAGCUUCAAUCUGGCCUACCUAAGACUUACCUUGGCUCAACACCCCUCAUUUCCUGCUCUGUCCUCUGAGAGAGCCAGAGACAUGGAGGUUGAACAUUUUAGCCACCCAGGUCAUCCAUUGAUCCUCAUUAAUCAAGUUCUCGAAUGUAGUUGUGAACUAGUUAUUUGCUCUGGAUGCGAGGGACCAAUAUGGGGUCCUUGCUACAGUUGCACCUCUUGCUACUUCUUUCUUCAUAAGAAAUGCGCCGAGCUGCCCCGUGAGAUCAAGCGGCGCAUUCAUCGUAGACACCCUCUCCAUCUACUGGCAAA
This 23395-nucleotide long non-coding RNA is filed under the name Populus trichocarpa (black cottonwood). RNAcentral's name for it is "long non-coding RNA (PTRI_LNC003605)". The record is from RNAcentral. Lineage: Eukaryota; Viridiplantae; Streptophyta; Magnoliopsida; Malpighiales; Salicaceae.